GUGUUGCGCCAGUCAUAAUUUUCGAAUGGCUGGAUAGGUGCUAUUCAAGCCUGGUAGACAUGAAAUAGUUGAUGUUUGCAAAUCUGAUGUACUUGCACUGAGUUUUUGCAUGGAGUGCACAUUCCAUAAACUUGACAAACUCAAUAAAGAACUGAAAACUCCUAAUCUAUUGUACUUCUGUAAGCAUUUUAUGAAUAUGAAGAUGUAAGAAAUGCGGUGAAGCUAAGUUUUCAAUCAACACAACUAAUUGGCAUGUGAAAGGGUUAAGGAAAGAGGCUCCUUGAAACAAUUUCUCGAAACAUCGCAACAUACCACCUGAGGGUCUCCAACCUUAACCUCUUACUACUGUUUUGCAAAUCACAAUAUUGACUGAAUGCAAUAUUUUUCUGACCAGUCUUUCAUGUAAUGUAAAGAAAGUUAACACGCCUAGUCUUACAUGAAGAUAAAUUCGAAAUCAUUUAUUUAUAGCACUCACUUAGCAGCAGUUCGGAACUUUUCUUUAUCAGUAUAGUACUUGUGAUUCACCUUUGUAUUGCUGAGUACAGGUAGAGAUAUGGUUAGUUGUUUACUAGAAAGGAUCCCGAAUUUUCCACCUUCUGAUUGUAGCUUAGACCGUCACUUGUACUUCACAAGGAGUGGACUGUGGUAGCUAGGAAAUAUAGUUUUCCUGAGAAUUUCCAUGCAUGCAAUUUUGAUUCUGUCUGCUAGCAUGUUUGUAUUACAGCAUGAAUUUCAUAUAUUAGAGGCUCCAUGAAGGUAUAUUCUGUCGUUGAAUGUCUAUGAGAUGGUUAAGCAGGUUGACUGUAUCUAGUUACAACUCCUCAUGUCCUGUGGCAGUUACGUUUGUGUGGUUUGGUGCUGUCAGUGUAAGCUUAACAUUUCUUUCCUUCUCCCAGGAAGGACACAAGCAUUGAGGAGCCAUUUGACCUGCCACUACACUGAUACAGUAUUUGGCAAAGGCAGGAGGCAUCUGCAAGCAACCAGUCAUUCCGAUUCUCAACCAAUCCUUCUAGUCAGCCCAUUUCUAGUGUCUUAUCUUGCAAGUUUUUUUCAGUAAAGCACAAUAAACACGCAGUUUCGUUCA
This is a long non-coding RNA of Dermacentor silvarum, 1084 nucleotides long. RefSeq lists it as uncharacterized. The record is from RefSeq and is a predicted model, not a curated record. The transcript has 2 exons. NCBI's taxonomy places the organism in Eukaryota, Metazoa, Arthropoda, Arachnida, Ixodida, Ixodidae.